Molecule: small RNA, 168 nt
Filed under: human gut metagenome
Description: Clostridiales-1 RNA
Rfam family: Clostridiales-1 RNA
Source: RNAcentral
GAUACCAGGGUCAAAAGCUCCAAAAGCCGUUCGUGCUUGCACGAUUAGGUUUUUGAGCUUUUGACCCGCAAAAACAUGAGGAUGCAGCGAUUUUCAAGGAAAAUCAGCGAAUCCGAAUGUUUUUAGAAUUGUGAGAGUUGCAUCGCAACGGAGCAAUUCGUGGGUAUC